Anopheles funestus (African malaria mosquito) is the source of this 12731-nucleotide RNA transcript. It is a transcript of the gene named protocadherin-like wing polarity protein stan, with no coding region annotated. Lineage: Eukaryota; Metazoa; Arthropoda; Insecta; Diptera; Culicidae. The record is from RefSeq and is a predicted model, not a curated record. The transcript has 9 exons.
AAUUAACUUCAAACGCUGCUCAAAAAACAUCCUUCCGAAGCGAUUCCCGUAGAAAGUUCGCAUGUGCAAAAAUGCCGUUUUUUAUGUGAGAUUGCUUUAUUUAGAGGUAGAACAAAUGUCGCGUGUACGUGCCCAAGACCCGGUGGGCACAGUGUUUGCACGCUAUAUGUGGUUCCCCUUUCUGCUUGCCAUCAAGCAAAGACAAGCUGUGUAUUGGCGUAUGUCAAGCAUAAGGCCCUUGAUACCAAAAAAAAAAACACCUCCCCACCAGUAGGAUGAACCUUCCCAAGCUAAAAAUUUGCUCUUUCCCACCUCUUCCGUAUAUGUAUAAUUUUCGCUACACGCCAGCACUACGAGGGUUUAGUGAGAGCCCAUAUUCCGGUAUCGCUUGUUUAGUGUGUUCUUAGCCUUUUCUCGGCCUCACUCGGCGCCGGGAGAGCGAACGGUUCGUGUGUAUCCUUGUGUUUGUCCUGACGCUGCAGAGACAAGAAAUAAGGGGGAAAAUCGAUAUUUCCCUCGGGGGUGGUGCGCGGUGUAAUGUGUAGGGAUAACGCCACCGCUAGCGAUGAUUCAUCCUGGUUUGUUGGGCGUAUUGAGAAAAACGGAUUCGAGCGCAUUAGAUAUAGAGGGGUGCAUUAAUACGCAACCGACAGCCGGGCCGGUGCGUUGUGUACGUUUCGUACCGAAGACUGCGUACCACUUCGUUACCAUAGGGGUUGGAAAAGCUUCCAAUCUAAGUAGGGUGUGCUCUGUACUGGUGAACGGACAUCUACUACGACCAUGUCCGGCAGUGUGAAACGCUAGUGAAAAACUUAGCUCCUGGAAACGUGGAAACAACAAGCCGGGAAGGAAGGAAAGAACGACAAACAAAACCAACCAUUUCGCCAUGAACGUGCAACGAAGGUGCAAUCUUGCGGCUCGGCUUGCACUGAUAGCGGUACUACUGCAGCUGAUGUUGCUCUGUAGCACCUGCAAUGGAUAUAUGAUAAUAGCAAGCGAAGAGGACGAACCGGGCAAGGUGCUGUUCAACUCGUCCGUGUACAAACUCGGCUCGGAACGGCAGUACAAAAUCAAUGCCCACAAAUCGGCCCACUACGUGCACCAUCUGCUACGGGUCGAUCCGGACAAUGGGCAAGUGAGCCUGAAGCGCAAGCUCAAAUGUGAUGGCAUCUACUAUCCUACACUGUUUACGUUUUACGUCGACUCUACCUCGAACCGGUUGCGUAGCAUAGAUUAUUACAGCUUACCGGUAAGGAUAUUUAUCGUCGGACGCAACUGUUCCGACGAGGACGAAACGGUAGCGGCCAGUUUUCGGAAGCUCUUUGAAGAGGAUGAUACUGGCUACCACCAUCACUAUCAGCGAUACAAACGUGCUGCGCCAGUGUAUCGCUUAGCAACGGCCGUAGAUACUCCACUUGCAGCAAGUGAAGAUGACGAGUCGGAGCAGAACGAUCAGCGUAUGUACGGUGAAUAUUUGGGUGAUCGGUUCCAUUACUAUCGCUCCGAGUAUCCCUGGUUGGCGGCUACGAGUGUUACCAACUAUACGACCUUUCGCGAAGGUGAUGUCCUGUUCGAUACCGUGCUGGAGAAUGAAUAUCGGCACGGUAUUAUAACGCGCAAAAGGCGUGAAAUAAGGGAUCUACCAGCGGAUCGCAUACACCGCAAAAUAGCCGACGCUAAGCAGUGGAUCUCGGAAACGUACGCUUCAUAUGCGAUCCACACGACGGACAAGUGGAAACACAUUUGUCUGAAGAAAUCGCAGUACAUCAACUCGAUCAGUGCAUUUCUGCCCAAAACGGUUCUGCACCACUGUGCGGUUCGAUAUUUGGAUGUGAACGAUGAACGGUUCGAGAUAGAAACGCGCACAGGUGAUUUAAUUGCAACCGGAGACUUUUGCAUCCCCGAAACGCUUUGGAAGGUGAUCAUUACGUAUAAUGUGAGGUGCGACCGGAAGGAUAUUAUCGAUGCCGAUCAUCGGUUGAAGAUCGUGUACCACCAUCAGGAGCUGAACGAUACAGAUAUUGCGAAACGCGUUCGGAGAGAGUUGCGCAAUCAAAGUCCAUACUUCGAACAGGCACUGUACGUUGCCUCCGUGCUGGAGGAACAACCGUCCGGUGCAAAUGUGAUCACGGUGCGUGCCCGCGAUCCAGAAGAUUCGCCAGUAGUGUAUUCCCUCGUUUCACUACUAGAUUCACGUUCUCAGGCAAUGUUUAAGGUCGAUUCGCGUACCGGCAUUGUCACCACUUCUUCUACGCUCGAUCGAGAACUGAUGGACGUACACUACUUUCGUGUUAUUGCUACGGAUGACAGUUUUCCACCCCGUUCCGGCACGACCACACUGCAGGUAAAUGUGCUCGAUUGUAACGAUCACACACCGACGUUCGAAGCGGAACAAUUUCACGCAACCGUCCGCGAGGGAGUUAGCGUUGGUUCGACGGUAAUAACGAUACGUGCCACGGAUCAGGAUAUAGGGAAAAAUGCCGACAUAGAGUACGCCAUCACGAGCAUCGUUGCCGAAGCUCAGGAACCAACCGGUACGACGAUGGUACUGGAUGGAGAUGAUGAGCCCCAUCAAGCGGAGAACGAUAAUGGUGGUGAUGCGCAAAAAUUCCGCAUCGAUGCACGCAGCGGUACGAUAUCGACACGGAGUGCAUUGGAUCGGGAAGUUGCCGGUAUGUACACAAUUAUGGUAACUGCUACCGAUAUGGCUACACCGCAAACGGAACGCAAAUCGGCCACGACGACGGUGUUGGUGAAAAUUCUGGACGACAACGACAACUAUCCGCAGUUUAGCGAGCGAACGUACACGGUGCAGGUGCGCGAAGAUCAGUGGGCGAACGAGAACAACGUGAUUGCUCACAUUCAAGCGACCGAUGCCGAUCAGGGAAAUAAUGCUGCAAUUCGAUAUGCAAUCAUCGGUGGCAAUACGCAAUCACAGUUUUCCAUUGAUUCGAUGAGUGGCGAUGUGUCACUGGUGAAACCGUUGGACUACGAAAGUGUGAGAAGUUAUCGCUUGGUAAUUCGAGCGCAGGAUGGUGGUAGUCCUUCCCGUUCCAAUACGACACAGCUGCUGGUGAACGUGCUGGAUGCGAACGAUAAUGCACCACGAUUCUAUACCUCCCAGUUCCAGGAAGCGGUUCUCGAGAGUGUUCCGGUCGGGUAUAAUAUUGUGCGCGUGCAAGCGUACGAUUCCGAUGAGGGUGCUAACUCGGAGAUAACGUACAGCAUACAGAAUCGGGACGAUGGGAUGCCGCUGGCCGUUGAUCCACGUACCGGAUGGAUACACACUACCAAAUCGCUGGAUCGUGAAGAGCAAAGCCGGUACAGCUUCCAGGUCGUGGCUGUCGAUGGUGGAAUUCCUCCCAAAUCUGCGAGUACCUCCGUUAUCGUGACGAUUCAGGAUGUGAACGAUAAUGAUCCAACGUUCAGCCCGAAAUACUACGAAGCGAUGCUGGCUGAAGAUCAACCACCGGGCACACCGGUGACAACGGUGACGGCGACCGAUCCGGAUGAAGAUUCGCGGCUACACUACGAAAUAACUGCCGGCAAUACGCGGGGUCGAUUUGCCAUAACCUCACAAAAUGGUCGAGGGUUGAUAACGAUUGCCCAACCGUUGGAUUACAAGCAGGAGCGACGGUUUGCCCUUACCAUCACGGCAACCGACAGUGGUCAGCGGACAGAUACGGCGAUAGUGAACAUAAACAUAACGGAUGCGAAUAACUUUGCGCCCGUGUUCGAGAAUGCGCCUUACAGUGCGUCCGUGUUUGAGGACGCUCCUAUCGGUACGACGGUUCUCGUAGUAUCGGCUUCGGAUAGUGAUGUGGGUAUUAACGCACAAAUAACCUACCUGCUGAACGAUGAGUCUGUGAAUGGGUUAGGAGCGAACGAACCGUUCACCAUUAAUGCACAAACGGGUGCUAUCAUAACGAACGCGAAGCUAGAUCGAGAGAGUACGAGCGGUUACCUGUUGACGGUUACGGCAAAGGAUGGUGGAAAUCCUUCGCUAAGCGACACAACGGAUGUGGAAAUAAGUGUGACGGACGUGAAUGAUAAUGCGCCGGCAUUUAAAGUGCCACUGUAUCAAGCAACGAUUCCGGAAGAUGCCUUAAUCGGAACAUCGGUAGUACAGAUCGCAGCUACCGAUCUUGACAUGGGGCUUAAUGGACGGGUAAAGUACGCACUCAGCCAGAAGGACAUGGAUGAGGGUUCGUUCGUAGUGGAUCCCAUUUCCGGCGUAAUACGCACCAAUAAAGGGCUCGAUCGCGAAAGCAUUCCCGUGUAUCAUCUGACUGCGAUUGCAAGUGACAAGGGAACGCCAACGAUGAGCAGUAGCGUUGAAGUACAGAUUCGGUUAGAUGACGUGAACGAUUCACCACCAACAUUUGCCUCCGACAAGCUAACGUUAUACGUGCCGGAAAACAGUCCGGUCGGUUCGGUUGUCGGGGAGAUCUAUGCACACGAUCCGGAUGAAGGCGUGAACGCGAUCGUACACUAUUCGAUCAUCGGUGGUGAUGAUUCGAACUCGUUUUCGCUCGUGACGCGACCGGGCUCGGACCGGGCACAGCUACUAACGAUGACGGAACUCGACUACGAAUCACCACGCAAACGCUUCGAGCUGAUCAUACGUGCGGCCUCUCCACCGCUUCGAAAUGACGUGUACGUGGAGAUACUGGUGACGGACGUGAACGAUAAUGCGCCGGUACUGCGAGACUUUCAAGUAAUUUUCAACAACUUCCGCGACUGUUUCCCCAGCGGUGUAAUCGGGCGCAUACCGGCGUUCGAUGCGGACGUAACGGACAAGCUUACGUACCGUAUCCUUUCGGGUAACAAUGCAAACUUGCUAAGGCUAAACAGCUCCAGCGGUGGAUUAACGUUGAGUCCACAGCUAAACACGAAUGUGCCCAAGUUCGCCACGAUGGAGGUAUCGGUAACGGAUGGGAUCAAUGAGGCGAAAGCAAUCAUGCAGCUAAUCGUGCGCCUCAUUACGGAGGAUAUGCUGUUCAACUCGGUAACGGUGCGAUUGGAUGAGAUGACGGAGGAAGCAUUUCUGUCGCCACUGUUAAGCUUCUUUCUCGAUGGGUUGGCCGCUAUAAUACCGUGUCCGAAGGAAAACAUCUUUCUGUUUUCGAUUCAAGAAGAUAUCGAUGUGAGUGGAAAGAUAUUGAACGUGAGUUUCUCCGCCCGCCGACCGGAUGUGGCGUUUGAGGAGUACUACAGCUCGCAGUAUCUGCAGGAAAGAAUUUAUCUAAACCGUGCCAUACUGGCACGACUAGCGACGGUUCGUGUGCUUCCGUUUGAUGAUAAUCUUUGUGUGCGUGAGCCGUGUCUUAACUAUGAGCAAUGUUUGUCGGUGCUAAAGUUUGGAAAUGCGUCAGGAUUUAUCCAUAGCGAUACGGUGCUGUUUCGACCGAUACAUCCCGUCAAUACGUUCGCCUGCAAGUGCCCGGAAGGUUUCACGGGCAGCAGAGAACACUAUCUCUGCGAUACGGAGGUGGAUCUGUGCUAUUCGGACCCAUGUCAGAACGGUGGUAGUUGUAUGCGUCGCGAGGGAGGCUACUCGUGCGUAUGUACGGAACAGUACACGGGAGUUAAUUGUGAAACAUCAAUCGCUGGUUUGAAACCGUGCAUUUCGGAAGUGUGCGGCGAUGGGUACAGCUGUCUGACGAGCGGACAAGGUGGACAUUGGCCACCGUACACAAAAACGUGCGAGCUUAUGUCGCGAUCGUUCACGAGAAAUUCGUUCCUUACGUUCCCGGGCAUGCGUCAACGGCAUCGGUUUAACAUACGGCUAAAGUUUGCGACCGUUCGCGACAGUGGACUUCUUCUCUACAACGGACGGUACAAUGAGCAGCAUGACUUCAUUGCGCUUGAAAUCAUCAACGGAAGAGUGAUAUUUUCCUUCUCCCUUGGCGACAAGGUGGAAACGGUGACGGUGAAUCAGCAGCGCAAGGUAUCGGACGGUAACUGGCACACGGUUGAGGUGAAGUACUUUAACCGCACUGUACUGCUUUCGCUGGAUAGCUGCGAUACUGCAACGGCACUGGCAGGACUUGGAGAGCGUUGGAACUGUGCGAAUCAAACAACGCUUGUACUGGACCGACGGUGUGCAUCGCUGGUCGAACCAUGCCACCGCUUUUUCGACCUAACGGGUCCACUGCAAAUUGGUGGUUUACCCAAAAUUCCGGCUUACUUCCAAAUACGUUCCCACAGCUUCAUUGGUUGCAUUUCCGACUUGUACAUCGAUCAGCGUUACGUCGAUCUGGGUGCGUACAUUGCCGACAAUGGAACGGUGGCCGGAUGUCCGCAGAAGGCAGCCUCGUGCGCAUCGGAACCUUGCUUCAAUGGUGGCACGUGCCGGGAAGGUUGGGGCGAAGGAUGGGAGUGUGAUUGUCCCGAUGGUUUUACCGGGAAUGCGUGUCAGGAGUCGGUUGCAUUGCCGUGGCGUUUUCAUGGUGACGGUAUAUUAAGCUUCAAUCCUCUGCUUCGUGCAAUUCAGCUGCCGUGGCUGACGGCGUUUUCAUUGCGCACUCGGAAGCGUGACACUUUCGUGAUGGAAAUUCAGGUCGGACAGAAUAAUUCGGCCGUUGUGUCGCUACGGGAUGGCAUCCUACAAUAUCUGUACAAUGGAGAACCGUUGCAGUUGGUUGGAGCAGACUUGGCGGAUGGACGCUGGCAUCGGGUCGAGAUUAAAUGGAUGGGCACAGAGGUAUCGCUUACGGUGGACUACGGCCAACGGAACGGUGUACUUCCCGUAACACAAAAAAUUCAAGGCUUGUACGUCGGUAGAAUAGUGAUUGGUGGUUUGGAAGGAACAAUCGGACAGCAUUACGGUGGUCCGUCGGAAAACUAUGAAGGAUGUAUACAGGAUGUUCGCGUCGGUGGUGUACAGUCCGUGUUGAAGCGUCCAACAGUGCGCGAAAACGUGCUGGACGGAUGCGCCUCGAAUGCUAAAUGUCCCGACGAUUGUCCGGAAGAGUCGUCCUGUGUGAGCAACUGGGAUGAUGCGUACUGUGAGUGUGCGCACGGUUUUGUAGGCAACGAAUGUAAACCGGUCUGUACAGUGAAACCUUGCUCGGAUAAUGGAAUCUGUCGGGCGGAUACGUUCAACACGAAGGGCUAUCGGUGUGAGUGCAACAGUAGCUUAAGUUCGGGAGAAUAUUGUGAGAACACCGUCCAGCAACCGUGCCCCGCCGGUUGGUGGGGUGAACGUAGCUGUGGACCAUGCAAAUGUAACGUAAAGCAGGGCUAUCAUCCAAACUGUGACAAAAGUACGGGCCAGUGUUACUGUCGCGAGAAUCACUACCAACCGGUAAACGAUACGAUUUGUUUACCGUGCGAAUGCUACACGGUGGGAUCGUACGGGAAGUCUUGCAACAGCUCGGGUCAGUGUGAAUGUCGCGAGGGUGUCAUCGGUAGGCGCUGUGAUUCGUGCUCGAAUCCUUACGCGGAAGUAACCCUGAACGGUUGUGAGGUUGUGUACGACGGCUGUCCAAAAUCACACUCGGCCGGAUUAUGGUGGCCACGCACCGCUUUUGGAGAGCUGGCGGUUGAAAACUGUCCCGCACCGGCUAGAGGAAAGGGUACCAGACGCUGCGAUCAAGUUCAGAGCGGUUGGGGUACGCCCGAUAUGUUUAACUGCACUUCGGAAGCAUUUUUGGAUCUUCGCAAACAGCUGUCCCAGAUAGAGGUGGAGGGAUUGGAACUGAACACGUUCAUUUCGGUGAAAGUGGCCGCAAAUCUACAGCAAGCGUGCAUAAGCGUCGGUGGACAGGCUAACGAUAAGGAUGGAAAUGGUGGGCGCGAUAGCCGUAUGAAGGAUUUCUACACGAUCGAUUCGGAAAAGACAAUGGGCGGUACGUCGCUGUGGCGGGAAGAUGACUUUGAGCUGGACUACCUACUGAACGAUGGGCAAUCAUUCGUGCAGAGCAAACUGUACGGGGCGGAUCUGCUGAUCACCGAUCGUAUGUUACACGAGCUAAUGCGCUACGAAUCGUACCAGCAGGGAUUGAACCUUUCCCACAGCCAGGACAAACACUACGUUCGGAAUUUGGUAGAAAGUGCCGGCGAGAUAUUGGAUCGACGAUACGCGGGCGAAUGGAAAAGGGUACUAGAUCUUACCGGACGUGGACCGGACGAUUUGGUGGAUGCGUUUAACCAGUACAUGAUCGUGCUGGCACGAUCACAGCACGAUACGUACACGAAUCCGUUCGAGAUUGUCCACAAAAACAUGGUGCUCGGAAUGGAUAUUGUAACCACGGAAUCACUGUUCGGUUACGAAUCACAAAUGGUGAAACAGUUUAAUCAUGGUGUGAAGCAGCAAGCGAAGGGAAAACAAGAACCACCCGGUCACCAUCCGGAGACGGUUAUCCUACCGGAUACGAGUUCAUUUUUGCAAAGCUUACCCAAACAGAAGCAACCGAUGAUUGCUUUCCCCAAGUACAACAACUACAUUCAGGAUCGGUCGAAAUAUGAUCGACACACGAAGGUACUUAUACCGCUGGAUAUGUUGGGCAUUACGGCACCGGACAAGAAUGAAAUAGUGAAUCAAAUCGCGGAACAUCGUGCCAUUUUCACUUACGCCCAGUACAAGGAUGCUGGUGAGCUGUUUCCGGCUAAUUUCGAUGAAACCGUCACGCGCCGCUGGGGUGUUGAAAUGCAGAUCGCUAGCAGCGUUCUGUCAAUUGCAAUUGUUACGCCAACUUCCGGUAAAGAAUCUUACACGCAAACGUUCCCAUCUGCCGGAGGGAUGGAAAAACUUGCUAAUAAUCAAGUGGAAACUAUUGCUCCUCCAUCCGCUAAACACGGUACGGAGCGGACGAAUGAAAAGCUAUCGAUGAACGAGAUUAAAAUAUCGAUUCAUGAUAUGAGCGAUCAGGAUGAAGGAUUAGACACGCUGGAUCAGCAUGCGCCGCAAGUUCCGAUGAUAAACACGCCGGAGAACGGGGAAGACUUUUUCCACGAUGAUGAUCUCCCCGAAACGGUGGUGCUGGCCCGCAGCGAUAAGACAUCCUCCAUGGAACGAUCGUCCCAAGAAGGGCCGUACCGGAGACGACGUAGAAGCAUUGUAACGGCGGACGACGGUAUUACUGAAUCGCCCGAAAUGGAUACGACUUCGCGCACCAAUUAUGCCCCGCUCGGACAAACACAUCUGAAGCAAGCACUUAAAUUACAAAUGUGGCUAAACAUACCGCGGAAUAGAUUUGUAUCACGAUCCAAUCCACAGUGCGUCCGCUGGAAUACACAUGCAAACCUUUGGACACGGAUCGGUUGCCAGACGGAAAUACCGAACUACGAAUCGAUCGGUAGCAAUGAUACGAUUUUAGUGAACUGUACGUGCAAUCAGUUAGCCACCUACGCGGUGCUAGUAGACAUUAUCGAUCCGGAGGAUAUUCCGGAACCUUCACUCUUGGUGCAAAUUACUUCCUACUCAGCGUUCCUGCUUUCGUUACCGAUUCUGUUUGCGGUCAUCAUUUCGUUGGCGUUGCUUCGCGGGCUUCAGACAAACUCGAAUAGUAUUCAUCAGAAUUUACUGUUUUGCAUUUUCUCUGCUGAGUUACUAUUUUUUGUAGCCAUACAGGCGCGACGCGAUCUGCUAGACAAUGAGUUCCCAUGCAAACUGGUUGCUAUUGCGCUGCAUUAUUCUUGGCUGGCGGCAUUCGCUUGGACGACGGUGGAUUGCGUGCAUCUGUACCGCAUGCUAACAGAAAUGCGUGACAUUAACCAUGGACCGAUGGGAUUCUAUCAUACGAUAGGGUACGGUGCGCCUGCAUUACUGGUGGGUCUUUCCGUUGGUGUACGAGUCCACGAAUAUGGAAACAGUUUGUUCUGUUGGCUAUCGGUGUACGAGUCCGUUAUCUGGUGGAUGGUUGGACCGAUCGCAAUCGUUUCGGUGUUUGAUCUGUUUAUCCUAUUCCUAUCGGUAAAAGCUGCUUUUACGAUCAAGGACCAUGUGUUAGGAUUCGGCAAUUUGCGCACACUGCUUUGGUUGUCUGUUGUGUCACUACCACUGUUGGGCAUUAUGUGGGUACUAGCAGUGUUGUCUGCGUCGGAAAAUUCGCAACUGCUCAAUAUGCUACUUUCCGCCGUGAUCAUUAUGCAUUCACUGUUCUCCAUCAUUGGAUACUGUAUCAUCAACAAACGCGUGCGUGAAAAUCUUCAUAAUGCCUUUUUGCGUUGUAUCGGUCGUAAGGUGCCGCUGCUCGAAUCUUCUAUUGCGAUCAGCAAUAGUUCCCAAAACGUAGGCUCACCGAAAACGCCCGGAUUUGCGGGCGGUUCCGGUGGACAGUAUGAUACGGCCCGGAGAAACAUUGGCAUCAGUACCUCUAGCACGACUUCGCGCAGCACAGCUAAAACGAGCUCCAGCCCAUAUCGUAGCGAUGGUCAGUUUAGGCACACGUCAACGUCUACCUCGAAUUACAACAGCGAUGGGGUGGCUUCCUAUAUGCGUGGACAUUAUGAUGAUAGCGCACUGCGUAAGAUUAAAAACAGUGGCCAAGGAAGGGAUGGGGAACGUCGCAGUCAUCGAAGACAUCGUCGAGAUUCGGAUUCUGGUAGUGAAACGGAUGGUAGAAGUCUGGAACUUGCGUCGAGCCAUUCAAGCGACGAUGAGGAAUCGCGUGUUGGACGUAAUAGUAGCACGCAUCGUAGUACUGGUGUGUGCAGUACAUCGUACCUGCCGAACAUUACUGAGCAUGUGGCUACGACUCCACCAGAGUUGCAUGUGGUGCAGAGUCCGCAGCUAUUCCCGAACGUUACACCCACCAGAUGGCCUACCCAGAAUGCUGGUAAUUAUUUACCUCCUGGCAAUGGUCGUUGGUCUCAGGAAACAGCCUCAGACAACGAAGCCCAUCCUCACAAAUCCCCAACCAACGGUGGUUCACUGCCGAAUCCGGACAUCACGGAAACUUCAUACCUGCACCAGAACCGCAUGAACAUGCCACCGUCGAUUUUGGAAAACAUUCAAGAAAACUACAAUAUUGGCUAUUCCAACACGGACCUGCGCAGCGAUCGUAAUUAUAGCAAUUACGGUAACACGGAUAAUUAUAUCCCUCCGGCUGAUUACGCAAAGCGGUACGAUUCGCAAGCCUCGGUAAACCCUUCCAGCACUCUGCCCCAUCAUUAUGCAUCGUCGGUAAACGGCAGCACUGGUGGUGGCGUACCGAUUGCCGAAGCACGCCAUACAGGAUCGAUGCAGGUUAUCAAUCAUAUGCGUGCUUAUCAGCAUGAAAAUCCGUACGCACUGAAAGAAUCACUUUACGAGCGAUCACGAACGCUUGGGUAUGGGUCCAGUGGUGGAGGCGCCGAGUCACCGUACCAUGGACACCCGCUUGCUGCACCGAAUGAUCUGUACAGUCCACCCGGUUCGCAUGUCAUGUCAUUCAAGUCGAGUGUACAAUCGCUGCUGAAGAACGAUUAUCAGCAACAGCAGCGCCAACAGCAUAAGCACCAUCCGGCAGGAAAUGGUGGCGAAUCGGACCGUAUGUCCGAAGGGUCCGAUAAAAAUCCGUACAAUUUCCCGUACACCGCCGAGGAGGACCAUCUGGUGCAUAACGGUGUGCCGAGAAUGCAUCACACCGGAGGAAUGGAAAACAUGGGACAGCUGGAGCAUAUUGCUUCCUCACCACCGCCUUCACAGCUAGUUAUGCGUGGUCCUGAUGGGCUUUCGCCUGCACCGUUGCAAUCCAUAGGACAGAUAAACGGUGGCAACGAUAGCUGGUGUUGGGACCGUCUAAAAAUGUUAGAAUAAACAGGUGUCUCCUCCUGCAAACACAAGGAUCCGGGAGAAAAGAUAUAACAUAUAUUCACAGAAAUCUCAACAAGAGGGAACAACAAAAUAUUGUAAGUGCAUCCAAUGACGACGAUGAAACAACCGUCUAGCCUGCAACGUUUAGAUAACCGACAAGUGGCUUGCAGCGUUUAUUUCCACCGUUUUGCUACAUAUUGCGUGCUCUCUAUACAAAACAUUAGGAAUACUCCCCGCCGAUCCCGUCGCGGAUCUCCAUUCGUUUACAUGUAUAUUUACGACAAAUGGGACAGCAGCAAACGAUGAUGAACCAGAGACAAAGAGAAUUUUGUAAUAUAUUUAUACUAUCACUAGCAUGAAUAUAGCCACAUGGCUCAAACAAGUGGUGCUACAUUCAUGUUUUGGAUGUAUAUAUUUAUACAGAUCGAUUUAAGGAUAUACAGAAGAUUGUGGUCGUAUUUUAAUCAAUCCUGUUUCUCUGCCCGCUUUUGCUUUGUUUUCACUGCAAACCGUACUGAAAUCCUGUUCCACCGACCCAGUGUACUAGUUUUUUUUUUGGUUUUACUAAGCCCAAACAUUAUUUUUUUGUGGACGUCCAACUAUGUGUAAAAUUGCCUAAAUAGCAGCUUAAAAAUGAAAUGUGCGAACGAAAAUUUGAUUAAAAGUUGCAAGAAAAAGGUGCUUUUUUCAAUUCACGUUAAGCAAGCAGAUCGAUAAACAGACAAACAACUGCCAUCUACACGAAAGGGAGCAAAAAGUGAGCACUGCCUUGAGUAUAAUAUUGUUGUUAUAACGAUUAGUAUAUGGCUUUCGAAUAUUAUUGCGAAACCUGCUCCAUAUAAUCGAAUAGUAGGUGUUAAACAUUUGUAGCGCAAUGUGCUUUUUAUACGAUCAUUAAAAUGGGUUUUUGGAAGCUAAAUUAGACAAGAAGUAGGGAAAACAGAGAGAGAGAGAGAGAGAGAGAGAGAGAGAGAGAGAGAGAGAGAGA